This 497-nucleotide ribosomal RNA is filed under the name uncultured bacterium. Its description in RNAcentral is "partial 16S ribosomal RNA". It matches the Rfam family "Bacterial small subunit ribosomal RNA", at positions 28 to 507 of the family's 1533-position model. The record is from RNAcentral.
GACGAACGCUGGCGGCGUGCCUAAUACAUGCAAGUUGAGCGAUGAAGAUUGGUGCUUGCACCAAUUUGAAGAGCAGCGAACGGGUGAGUAACGCGUGGGGAAUCUGCCUUUGAGCGGGGGACAACAUUUGGAAACGAAUGCUAAUACCGCAUAACAACUUUAAACAUAAGUUUUAAGUUUGAAAGAUGCAAUUGCAUCACUCAAAGAUGAUCCCGCGUUGUAUUAGCUAGUUGGUGAGGUAAAGGCUCACCAAGGCGAUGAUACAUAGCCGACCUGAGAGGGUGAUCGGCCACAUUGGGACUGAGACACGGCCCAAACGCCUACGGGAGGCAGCAGUAGGGAAUCUUCGGCAAUGGACGAAAGUCUGACCGAGCAACGCCGCGUGAGUGAAGAAGGGUUUCGGAUCGGAAAACUCUGUUGGUAGAGAAGAACGUUGGUGAGAGUGGAAAGCUCAUCAAGUGACGGUAACUACCCAGAAAGGGACGGCUAACUACGUG